Molecule: ribosomal RNA, 454 nt
Filed under: uncultured Porphyromonadaceae bacterium
Lineage: Bacteria; Pseudomonadati; Bacteroidota; Bacteroidia; Bacteroidales; Porphyromonadaceae
Description: bacterial SSU rRNA
Rfam family: Bacterial small subunit ribosomal RNA
Source: RNAcentral
ACGGAAGGCAGCAGUGAGGAAUAUUGGUCAAUGGACGGAAGUCUGAACCAGCCAAGUCGCGUGAAGGAAGACGGUUCUAUGGAUUGUAAACUUCUUUUGCCUGAGGGUAAAAUGAGUCACGUGUGGCUUAUUGCAAGUAUCAGGUGAAUAAGCAUCGGCUAACUCCGUGCCAGCAGCCGCGGUAAUACGGAGGAUGCGAGCGUUAUCCGGAUUUAUUGGGUUUAAAGGGUGCGUAGGCGGGAUAUUAAGUCAGCGGUGAAAGUUUGCGGCUCAACCGUAAAAUUGCCGUUGAAACUGGUGUCCUUGAGUGUAAACGAGGUAGGCGGAAUGUGACGUGUAGCGGUGAAAUGCUUAGAUAUGUCACAGAACCCCGAUUGCGAAGGCAGCUUACCAGCAUACAACUGACGCUGAGGCACGAAAGCGUGGGUAUCAAACAGGAUUAGAUACCCUGGUA